GCCCGCGUAGUUUAGCUUGGACAUGCUUUGCAUGAAGCACAUAGAAUGUCAGGUUGCGGACCUGAAGAUCCGGGGUUCAAAUCCUCGCGCGGGCG
This 95-nucleotide transfer RNA is filed under the name Candidatus Woesearchaeota archaeon. RNAcentral describes it as "tRNA-Arg". It matches the Rfam family "tRNA". From Rfam's summary of the family: Transfer RNA (tRNA) molecules are approximately 80 nucleotides in length. Their secondary structure includes four short double-helical elements and three loops (D, anti-codon, and T loops). Further hydrogen bonds mediate the characteristic L-shaped molecular structure. tRNAs have two regions of fundamental functional importance: the anti-codon, which is responsible for specific mRNA codon recognition, and the 3' end, to which the tRNAs corresponding amino acid is attached (by aminoacyl-tRNA synthetases). tRNAs cope with the degeneracy of the genetic code in two manners: having more than one tRNA (with a specific anti-codon) for a particular amino acid; and 'wobble' base-pairing, i.e. permitting non-standard base-pairing at the 3rd anti-codon position. Lineage: Archaea; Nanobdellati; Candidatus Woesearchaeota. The record is from RNAcentral.